AGGAUGAACGCUGGCGGCGUGCUUAACACAUGCAAGUCGAACGAUGAAGGCUGGAGCUUGCUCUGGCUGGAUUAGUGGCGAACGGGUGAGUAACACGUGAGUAACCUGCCCCAGACUCUGGGAUAAGCGCUGGAAACGGCGUCUAAUACCGGAUACGAGCUUCCACCGCAUGGUGAGGAGCUGGAAAGAAUUUCGGUCUGGGAUGGACUCGCGGCCUAUCAGCUU
Molecule: ribosomal RNA, 225 nt
Filed under: uncultured soil bacterium
Lineage: Bacteria
Description: partial 16S ribosomal RNA
Rfam family: Bacterial small subunit ribosomal RNA
Source: RNAcentral